ACCGGGCCUCGUGGCUGGAGCCUGUGAUUUCCCCCAGCUUCUGGGGAAGCUGAGGCUGGUGGAUCACUUGAGCUCGGGAGUUCUGGGCUGCAGGGGGCUUUGCCGGUCGGGUGUCUGCACUAAGAUCAGCAUCAAUAUGGUGAUCCCUGGGAAGCUUGGGGUCCCCAGGUUGUCUAAGGAGGGGUGAACCGGCCCAGGUUGGAAACGGAGCGGGUCAAAACUCCCGUGCCGGUCAGUAGUGGGAUCGCAGCUGUGAAUGGCCUUGGUGAAACACGGUCUCUUUUUAUUUCUAUAUACACACAGCACAAGAUUCU
This 314-nucleotide signal recognition particle RNA is filed under the name Chelonoidis abingdonii (Abingdon island giant tortoise). Its description in RNAcentral is "Metazoan signal recognition particle RNA (ENSCABG00000012912.1)". It matches the Rfam family "Metazoan signal recognition particle RNA". Rfam says of the family: The signal recognition particle (SRP) is a universally conserved ribonucleoprotein. It is involved in the co-translational targeting of proteins to membranes. The record is from RNAcentral. Lineage: Eukaryota; Metazoa; Chordata; Testudines; Testudinidae.